CUGCGUUGUUUGCUGACCCAGCUCUAACUAAUCACCCAACAUGCAGACCAAGAGAUCUACUAACCAAUUGUUAAUUAUAGAAGAGAAUAUAAAACGACUUAACCGAUUGACCGUUUGUACAUGUUCCUGGUACAAAUCCUGAGCAAUACAACAUUUCGAGAAUUGUGCCACAAAAUUCUUUUGCCCGGGGGCUUUCAUCAACCAUGCGAUAAUUACUUUUCGUCUUGAUUCAUGAGAGAAGUUCCCACGCCAACGUAGUAUCACUAGCGCAAUAGACUUUACCGUUUACUCACUUUUCACCCCAUGGG
Non-coding RNA from Paramuricea clavata, 308 nucleotides. The record is from the annotation of a GenBank genome assembly. NCBI's taxonomy places the organism in Eukaryota, Metazoa, Cnidaria, Anthozoa, Malacalcyonacea, Plexauridae.